GUGGGAGGGGGCUUGCUCCCGAUAGCAGUGGGUCAGUCAAAAUUACUUAGACUGGCACACCGCAAUCGGGAGCAAGCCCCCUCCCAC
Molecule: unclassified non-coding RNA, 87 nt
Filed under: Pseudomonas synxantha
Lineage: Bacteria; Pseudomonadati; Pseudomonadota; Gammaproteobacteria; Pseudomonadales; Pseudomonadaceae
Source: RNAcentral